This 440-nucleotide ribosomal RNA is filed under the name uncultured bacterium. RNAcentral describes it as "partial 16S ribosomal RNA". It matches the Rfam family "Bacterial small subunit ribosomal RNA", at positions 338 to 795 of the family's 1533-position model. The record is from RNAcentral.
CCUACGGGCGGCAGCAGUGGGGAAUAUUGCACAAUGGAGGAAACCCUGAUGCAGCGACGCCGCGUGAGCGAUGAAGGAUUUCGGUAUGUAAAGCUCUAUCAGCAGGGAAGAAAAUGACGGUACCUGACUAAGAAGCCCCGGCUAACUACGUGCCAACAGCCGCGGUAAUACGUAGGGGGCCAGCGUUAUCCGGAUUUACUGGGUGGAAAGGGAGCGUAGACGGCGGUGCAAGUCAGAUGUGAAAGUCCGGGGCUCAACCCCGGGACUGCAUUUGAAACUGUGCUGCUAGAGUGUCGGAGAGGCAGGCGGAAUGCGUAGUGUAGCGGUGAAAUGCGUAGAUAUUAGGAGGAACACCAGUGGCGAAGGCGGCCUGCUGGACGAUGACUGACGUUGAGGCACGAAAGCGUGGGGAGCAAACAGGAUUAGAUACCCGAGUAGUC